This is an RNA transcript of Amphibalanus amphitrite, 7058 nucleotides long. It is a transcript of the gene named maestro heat-like repeat-containing protein family member 1, with no coding region annotated. The record is from RefSeq and is a predicted model, not a curated record. The transcript has 30 exons. Lineage: Eukaryota; Metazoa; Arthropoda; Thecostraca; Balanomorpha; Balanidae.
CCCGGUCGUCUCUGCUGUGUUGGUGGUUCUCAGGCGCGGACGGGUUGGCGAGCUGUGACGUGUGCUGCUGAGGCGUGUAGCUGUGAGUUUUUGUGAGUUGUAGCGGCGGUGGAGUUGCCUGCGCAGGGCGGAGCAAUGGCAGAAGAGCCAUCGAACUUGACGACUGCGGAGGCAGAAAAGGACUCUGAGAGGGGUGAUGAGACUGAGAAGACUGAGUUAGUGGCAGACAGUGAGAAAGAGAGACCUGCGGGUGCUGAAGACAGGCAGACAAACGCUGAACCUGCCGCGGCGGUAAAGGAGAAUGGGAAAUCCGCUGAUAAGCAGUCUGAAAAUGGCCGUGCAAGUCCAGAAGAAGACUCCAGCACUGAGCCCCCAGCUAAGAAUGGCAGGCAGAGUCCGUCCUCCAAUAAGAAGGUGGCGAAGGAAGCUGAGUCUGCGGAGUCUCAGAGGUCGCCUAAGUCCAGCCGGGGAACGGUUGGCUCGACAACAGCGGCCGUUUCCACUCCCGUCAAAAAGAAACCAACGCAGAACGACAUUGACUUGCUCCAGGGUCUGCUGACGUCGCUAUUAGACGCGGCCAGUGAUGUUCAGGACGAGGUGCGAGCGUCAGUCAGCACAGCAAUAUUCACACUGGGACGGAGCAAGCCGUACGAUGUGCUGCUCACCGUCUUCAACUACCUCACUGCCGACCGGCCCAAGGGCUUCAUGCAGCGGAUCUGCAUCCUGCAGGCCGUCGAGGAAAUAUGCCGUGACGUGGGCGCCGAACUGGACGACCACGAGGUCAUGGAGAUCGCGCCGCUCAUCGUUAAUGAGAUGGUCAGCAGCAAAGAGGUGAUACCACAGAUCCAGCAGCCGUGCUCCGAGGCGCUGGUCGGUCUGGGACAGAACCACUGUUUCCAGGUGAUGGAGAUUCUCACCACCAAGCUGGAGACGUCUCAGCUGCCACACUUUUACACGCUGCAGACCAUGGGCUCCCUGGCCACCUCAAACGUCUACACUAUGGUGCCCUUCCUCAAGGGCAUCCUGGGGCCCAUGCAGCCCAUGCUCAACAUGGUCAAACAGGACAACCUCAAGUGGGCCUUCGCCUUCGUGAUUGCCCGGUUCUGCGAGUGUAUCACUGAAUACCUGGCCAACAUCGAUAAGGCGCCCGACCCGCUGGUCAAAAAGGAGUUCUACUCCACGGAGAUCAACUCGGCGUUCGACAUUCUCUUCAACUCCUGGCUCACCUCCAAAGACUCCAAGGUGCGACUUCAGGUGGCGGAGUCGAUCGGCCAGAUGGCACACAUCAUGGACACGGACAAGCUGUCCGAGUCGCUGACCAAGCUGCUGCCGGCGCUGCUGCAGCUCUACAAGCGCCACUCGGAGCCCUACCCGGUCACCUGCGCGCUGGCCAUGGUGCUGGACGCCUCGCUCAUCACCGGGAAGCACGUGCUGGAGCUGCACAUGGAGGCCAUGUUGACGGCGCUGUUCCAGCAGGUGUGCGCCGUUCCCGACUACACGCUGCCACUGACGGUGAAAAACCAUUACGAGGUCCUGCGCUGCUGCGACACGCUCGCCAAGUGCAGCCCCGAUCCGGUAGUGAGCUUCUACCUGAACCGGUUGGGCCACAGCUCGGAUCGUGUACGGACCGGGUCGCUGACCGUUCUCAAACACCUCAUCAACGCCUCAGAGUUUGAGCUGGCGCAGAAGGUGCCCGAUAUCGAAGGAGGGUUACGCCUGCUGCUGAUGGACCCGUCAAACAAGGUGAAGAAGGCGCUGACGCAGGUGAUCAUGGCGCUGGCGCACCGCGGCUUUCUGACACAGCAGGACGGCGCCGUGUUCGUCGAGUUCAUCGUGCGCCAGUGCUGCCUGCCCGACGAGCCGCCGGCGCGCCGGCCGGCAGAGGCCGAUGUGACGGCUGAGUCUCUGCGCUCCAUGUGUGAGAAUGUGCUCCACCUGCUCAGUACUACCGUGGACCAGAUGCUGCCGCUGCUGUGGCCGCACCUGCUCGAGUAUCUGACGCCAGAGUAUGCCGGCGCGCUGCCCACGGUUAUUAAAUGCGCGGCGCAGCUGGCGGGCCGGGCGCGGAAGAUGGACCCCGAGCCGGACAUCUACGCCAACAAUCCGAACCUGCACCAGCCGGCCACGCUCCUCUCCUACCUAAUGGUUUGGCUCGGCUGUCCGGAGCCCGGCAGUCGCGGACACCACACCCUGCAGCUGAUGGAAGGUGUGGUGAACCAGAUCAACACCGGACUGGCUGAACUCUGGGACCUGCGGCUGCCAGAGCUCACCGAUAAACUCAACGAGAACUACGACGGCCGCCAGCGCCGCGAGUGGGAGCAGUCUGUUCUCUCGUUCCUGCGCGAGUCGCUAGUGGCUGUCGACAAUCAGGAGUGGGUCGACCAAGUCGGCGCCGCGAUGGCCGGUCAUCUGAGCUCGACGCUGUACGCGGAGCGGCCACGCGAGCGGGCCUUUCUGAUGCGCUGUAUGGCCGCGUGCGUGUGCCGCCAGCAGCACAAGAAACUGGUCUGCGCCCACAUCGACUCGAUAUUCGCGUCCGUGAGGCACACCGAGUCCUGCGAGAGACAGGGCUGCGCGCAGGCGCUGGGUCUGAUCUCGUCCGUCCACCUGGACCCGGUGCUGGCCAAACUGGACCAGGUGGCGCGCGCAGAGCUCUCCAAGAAACCCACCGGCCUGCUCGGCUUCAUGAAGGACACCAAGGGCGAGGCGGCCCAGGAACGGAUGCGCGCCACGGUGAUCCUGUGUUACGGCCAGGUGGCGCUGAUGGCGCCCCAACACCUGCUGCUUGAGCGCUUCGAGGUGCCCGUGUUCCGCGACCUGCAGACCUUCCUGCCCAACUGCAAGACCGCCGAGGUGCGUCGGGCCAUCGUGGAGACCUCUGGUGAGCUGGCUCGGGCGCUCCACCCGGACCGUCUGAAGGAGAGGUACCGGUUCAGAGGCCGGGACCAGCUGCUGCAGUUCACACUGACGGCACUGAGGACCGAACACGAACUGGAGGUGGUCCACCAGAUACUGGCCUCGGCCAGGGCACUAGUGUCUCUGGACCCUGCGCUCACCACCGAGGACCGGACCGGUCUGAUGAAGACAGUGUUCGAGGCCGUCUAUCCCGUCCGUCGUGAGCUACCCCAAGAUCACGAGUCCACAGCUCAGUACCAGAUUCACAGGAAGAUUGUCUCCGAGCUGGACCGUCUGGUGUGCACACUCCUGCUGCGCGACGUCUCGCCGGCCGUGCUGGACGACCUGGUGACGUCACUGGUGCCCUGGGUGACGUCACAGGCGGCCCACGAGCGGGCGCACAGCAUGUCCACGCUGGGGAUGGUACUGCAGACCUACCUGGACAACGUGCACGUCGGAGAGGGGCUGGGCCCGGUGAGUUUCUGCGUGGGUGGACAGCUGCUCGCCACUCUCGUCCCGCGCUGCGUCGACCCCGAGCUCACCAUACGGCCCAUCGCCUUCGACGCCGUACACACCGUGCUCAAGAUCCUUUCGCUGUACGAGGGCAGUCAGUGGGACAUGGAUGCGAUGGCAGAGCUGAGAGAGAAGAUACUGAACGCCGAGGAGGCCAACAUCAAGGAGGACAUGGCCACACUGUCCCAGAUUCUGAGCGAGCGGGUCAGCUCGACGCAGAUCCGCUCGUUCUUCGAGACCCUGCUGCCGGGUCUGUUGGACGUCCACCCGACCAGCUCGCUCGGCGGAGCCGUCACCGUCACCGUCCUACUGCGCAUGCGCGGCGCAGAGUUCUACGAACACGUGCCGGAGGUGCUCCGCGGUCUACACACCAAACUAUCCGAGAUAACGCACCCAGAGACGCGCCAGGAGGUACUAAAUGCCGUUCAGACGCUCUCAUCUCAUCACAUCGUGGCCGUGACGCAGGCCCUGCUCGCCUACCCGUUGCCUUAUGACGAUCACGUGACCGACUGCUGGCGUGUGAUCGGCCGCGACUCCCGGCUCUCGAGUAACAUCCUGCAGCAGUUUAUGGAGCUGGUCAGCUCGUCUGCGCCCUAUGAGGAGCAGCGGGAUCCCGGCCGUGAACAGCCCGUCCGUAUCGCCAUGCUGCAACCGCUCUGUGCGAUCAGCGCGAUGACUGAGUUGUUCAGUCUGCCGGAGCUGGCGGACGCGUGCGGCCCGGACGUGCCUCAGCUGCUCUCUCGGCUGCUGCUCGCCCAGGCCGCCUACGUGGGCGUCUUUCCCCCGGUCUCCGGCGCCAUCAACAAGAACCAGCCGGCCCACUCGUUCGUGCCCAACCGCAGCGCCUACAAACUCAGUCCGUUCAGGAUCGCCAGUGAGGCGCUGCUCUCGUUCCUCCGCUGUGUGAAGCUCACGGAGCUGGCAGAGGUGCUGACGUCACACUGCGAACAGCCGCACGAAGAUCUCAACCGCUACUCGGACUUUGUCAUCGACCUGUCCAGCGCUCUGGUGACCCACAGUGCCCACCUGAUGGCGCCCAUGGUGAAGUGCCUGGCGCCCGACCUAUCCAGUAUGUAUGAGGCACAGCGGAUCGCGGCUGUGGCCUUCUACGGAGAGCUGGUCCACCACCGGUGCGCGGGUAACCUGUCUCUGAUUGAGACCGUGCUGACCAGCCUGUCGUCCCGUCUGAUCGACUCGUCACCCGUGGUGCGGCGGCUCUGUCUGCUCGGACUGGGCCACAUCAGUCACCUGGAUCAUCCGGGGGGAUUCGGUGUCGACUACACACAUUUGAUCGGCCAGUUCGCCCAGCCGGUGAUGUCGGCUCUGCUGACUAUACCCCCGUUUCCCCUAGAUCGGCCAGUUCGCCCAGCCGGUGAUGUCAGCACUGCUCGGCGGACUGGACGACCGCGAGGAAGCCGGUGAUGGAAUCCCUCUGCAGGCCAUGACAGCCCUGUGCGGUGUGCUGAAGGUCGUCUCUAACGAGCAGGUGCAGCACACGCUCAUACCAAUCACCAUACGGAUACGAGUCUACUUCGAGAGCGAGUCAGUGGCGCUGCGUUCCACCUCGCUGGGCCUGUUUGGCGCGUGCUCGGCGUUCUGCCAGGGCGGCCUGCACGACCAGUACAUGGAGCAGGCGCACAACAACCUGGUGUCGCUGCUGAUUCACCUCAACGACCCCGAGCCCAGCGUCGUGCUGGCGUGCAAGUCGAGCCUGCGUCAGGUGGGUCCUCUGCUGGACGCCAAGGGCAUCAACGCGAUGCUGCAGAAACAUCUCAUCGACGAGGGGAAGCUGCAGUACGCCAACUUUGUCAGCGAUCUCUCCAAACUCAUGGUGGAGGAGCUAGAGCCGAAGCUGCACAUGUACAUCAUGAGUCUGCUGGCUCACUUCCGCUCCGGAUGGACGGAGCUGAAGGGCACCGCCGCGCUGCUCGUCGCGUUCCUGUUGUGUAACCUGCCCGCCGAGCAUCGCUCCAACGUGAAGGUCCAGCCGGUCUGCUCCGGUCUGAAGAAGCUGCUCCAGGACUCUGACUGGCACGUGCGGUCACAGGCCGCCAAGGCCAUCUCCCUUCUGCACGACUACUGAGCCGGCGUUUCUCGGGUGAGACCUAGGAGACCUCAGGACUUGUAAGUGAUGACCUGAGGUGGCCUUACCAGAGCCAGCAUUCUGUGACCUUGAGUGAGGUCUGAGGUGACCUCAGGACUAGUGAGUGAUAACCGGAGGUGACCUUACAUGAACUUUACGGCCCUGUUUGGGGGUCGCUCAUUACAGGAUUAGAACGAGUGACCUCUCUCAUACGGACCGUCACGUUGUGCGCGUGUGCGUGUGUGUGUGUGAUAAGCAAAAGCCCUUCCGGACGCCUCCAUAUAAUGUGAGCCUCGUGAAUGGAGCGGCUGUUAACGAAGCUGCGGAGUUUCGUUCCGGACUCUGAACUGUUGCGCUGGGAGCUCUGUGUCUGGACCAAGCCAGGAGUGAUUUCCCUGGUUCUUGACUAUCACACGCAGGCUCAGGGCCUGUCUGUCAGACUUGCCAUGGUCGGGCCCUCUAAGAGCUGGUGGCAGUGGGUUGCCCUUUGAGGCCUUGCUACAGUCUCUCGCACGAAACUCUAGUCGCACAAUGUCAUGAAGAGUGGGCUCUAGACUUUCACUGUUGCGUUUUCCCUCGCCUUAGUGUGAACAUACGUUAUGUUAGGGGCAUUCGCCAGAAACUGUAUCGUUUGCUUAUCGAGUCAGAAACUUGACUGAAGACUGCGAUAUUUUGUCUCGUUUAUUGGCUACAUGAAUCGUUGGGUAGUCGACAACGCAUAAAAGUUAAGUAUAAUCAUAAUUAUGGCUAGUCGCGCUGUCUGGACUGUCGGCUGCCGUCCGAUCGACAGUGAUUCCUUGGCAGCCCUCCGUCGUUACUGUAACUGACAAAUUCUGCGCCGCUGUGAUCACAUUUCACGACUACUCUGUGCCGCCUUUUGCCGCGGCCGGAGCGCCCUAGCCAGUGUCUGUCGCUGCACAGAGGCCGGGGUUCGGGUGGCAGUGUGCGACAGAUCAGUGGCCGCGUACAGAACACUCCCACACGGCUGUGACGAUGAGACAGUCGCUUCUGAGUUGUGAGUCCGUGGCCGGCGCCACUGGUGCCGUGAAUCGCGGCUGGAAUUUGUACCUCGGGGGCUCCGCCGGAGUGCUUAUCCGUGUUUCCGUUCAUUGUAUCUCGCCGCGCUGUGUAUCGGUCAACUGGGGUUUCCGCUGGUUGUUGUACGCAUUCCGCGCUGCUCGCCGCUGUAUAGUAUGUCCUGUGCGGCCCGUGUAGGUGAUAUUUAUGCCGAUAGAUGGCAGCAGCUGCGCCAGUGCCUUGCGCCGGACGCGCCGCCGCGUCACCAGUUAUCUCGUGCAAUGGUUGUCCCUAUCGCCGUAUACCGCCGUAGUUGCGGUGUCGGACUCCGGCGUUAGUACGAGGCGUCGGUAGGGAUAUCGGCUUGUGGGGGUGUUCUGCGCCGGCGCGUGUGAUACUUUAUAUCAAACGGCGCAUCAGGUAUAUUCAUUUGCGCCGUGUGUAAUUCGGUUCGCCUCUGUAACUGGCGACCUCCGAGGCAUUAUAUUAUUAUGGCCGAAUGGUUGUUGUUGAGUGGUGAAGUUGAAAUAAAGAGCUAUAGUUGGAAUAA